UUUUCGCAGCCCCAACGGUUCCAACCGUUGGGGCCUUUUUUUCGCAAUGGAGGGAAUCUUCCCUCCCUUUUUUUCCCAAAAAAAAAAAGAAAAAAAACACAAAAGGCCCCCGUGAACCCAUUUACUUCUUCGUUCCCCCUCUAUCAAAAACCCCCAAAUCUCCUUUGCCGCCGCUCAGAGACUCCCGCCACCGCCUCUUGGAGAUCACCUCUGCCACCGCCGCAGUUGCUCGGAGAUCUCCUCUUUUCACUGCUCAGAGAUAGUUACCGUCGCUGCUCAGAGAUGGCCGCUGCCACCACCGCCACUCUCUCCCCUAAAAACCCUAGCCUUCGCCACCAUGAACUGCAGCCACGCCGCUCUGUCCCCUCUUUUCAGCUGCUCGGAGAUGGUCACUGGAAACCCUAGCGCAGAGGAUCUGGAAACCCUCACCUCCCUCGCCUCAUUGGACUCCGCUACCUCCCCUAACUCAACUUCCCUCUCGGGUGUGGCUAAACCCUGGCAAUCUGCAAGCCCUCUAUUUCUACAUCGUCAUCUGCCGAUGCGUCUACGAAUAGGGCUGAAAAUUGGUGGAUUGACUUUGUUAGGCGCCAAAGAGGGACUGAUGAUGCCGUUGCAAAUGGGUGUGGGGUAAAAGCCCGUCAGCUUUGGUUUCUUAACCAGAAAACAGAUUGUAACCUUGUUCCGGGUAGCUCUAUAAUCACCACUUGAAAUUAUGACAUGAAACUUCGAGAUUACAUUAUGGUCGCAUAGUGGACAUUGAAUUGAAGAAUCCACCUCCCCCUGGUUAUUGUUUUGUGGAGUUCGAAAGUGCUCGAGAUGCUGAUGAUGCUGUCAGGGGUUGUGAUGGCUAUAACUUUGAUGGAUACCGUUUGAGGGUAUACUGGAAAUGUUAACUUGCUUUGUAGGCCUCGUUAGAAGAUUGAAUAAGAGAACUACUUAAGGCAUACUCCAAAUGUGAGACAAGUGCAUAAAUUAUCUCGGUCCAAAAUGCGUGGCUUUCAAAUAACUCAAGAAUUCCUAAACAACUUCUAGACACGAAAGGAACUGAGGAGGCGCCUUCAAAAGCCUGUCUUGGAUCUGAUUACGAUUCAGAAGAUGGACUUCCACCUUUGGAAGAGAACUUGAACCACUUGAAGUUGGAGGACAGUGAAGAAAGUGAAGAAGAGGAUGAAUGAGGAAUCCUUUCAUCUUACAGUUCAUGAAUAAAAGAAUAGGAACAUUUAGUAUUGUGCUUCAUCGAAGCUCCACUAUGUUUUAUAUUGUGUUUUGUUGUCUACAUAGAAGAAUGAUAGCUUGUUAUAUAGUUGCUGGUUUAAAUUAUGUACUCAGAGGUUGUCAAUCUGGUCGCAAAGCAUUUGGAUGUAUAAUAGAACCCAGUUUUGAUUAAAGCUUAUGAAUACAAAUGUUAUCUUUUGUCACA
Long non-coding RNA from Asparagus officinalis (garden asparagus), 1420 nucleotides. RefSeq lists it as uncharacterized. The record is from RefSeq and is a predicted model, not a curated record. The transcript is spliced from 7 exons. NCBI's taxonomy places the organism in Eukaryota, Viridiplantae, Streptophyta, Magnoliopsida, Asparagales, Asparagaceae.